CCUACGGGUGGCAGCAGUGGGGAAUUUUGCGCAAUGCUCGUAAGAGUGACGCAGCGACGCCGCGUGAAUGACGAAGGCCUUCGGGUCGUAAAGUUCUUUCGACAGGGGAGAAAAUGCCUAUAAGUAACUGUGUAUGUAUUGACGGUACCUGUAUAAGCAGCCCCGGCUAACUCCGUGCCAGCAGCCGCGGUAAUACGGAGGGGGCUAGCGGUGUUCGGAGGGACUGGGCGUAAAGAGCACGUAGGCGGUGUUGUAAGUCAUUAGUCAAAGAAGAGAGCUAAAAUUUAGUAAGGCUAGUGAUACUAGCAUACUAGAGUAUGAGAGAGGAGUGCAGAAUGCCUGGUGUAGCGGUGAAAUGCGUAGAUAUCAGGAGGAAUACCGUUAGCGAAGGCGGCAAUCUGGCUGGAAACUGACGCUGAGGUGCGAAAGCGUGGGUAGCAAACAGGAUUAGAUACCCGAGUAGUC
RNAcentral lists this ribosomal RNA (465 nucleotides) under uncultured bacterium. Its description in RNAcentral is "partial 16S ribosomal RNA". It matches the Rfam family "Bacterial small subunit ribosomal RNA", at positions 338 to 795 of the family's 1533-position model. The record is from RNAcentral.